GUUGGUGAACCAGCGGAGGGAUCAUUACAGAGUUGCAAAACUCCCCAAACCAUUGUGAACCUACCCCUAAACAGUUGCUUCGGCGGCGCCCUGACAGGCCCGCCGGAGACCACUAAACUCUUGUUUUUUUAACACUGGCCUCUCUGAGUUUACUGUACUGUAAUAAGUCAAAACUUUCAACAACGGAUCUCUUGGUUCUGGCAUCGAUGAAGAACGCAGCAUCUGACUGACUGGCAGUGUAUCGAUCUCG
Molecule: unclassified non-coding RNA, 250 nt
Filed under: plant metagenome
Description: partial contains small subunit ribosomal RNA, internal transcribed spacer 1, and 5.8S ribosomal RNA
Source: RNAcentral